RNAcentral lists this ribosomal RNA (253 nucleotides) under uncultured bacterium. RNAcentral describes it as "partial 16S ribosomal RNA". It matches the Rfam family "Bacterial small subunit ribosomal RNA", at positions 524 to 776 of the family's 1533-position model. The record is from RNAcentral.
UACGGAGGGUGCAAGCGUUAUCCGGAUUCACUGGGUUUAAAGGGUGCGUAGGCGGGCAGGUAAGUCAGUGGUGAAAUCCCCGGGCUUAACUUGGGAACUGCCGUUGAUACUAUCUGUCUUGAAUAUCGUGGAGGUGAGUGGAAUAUGUCAUGUAGCGGUGAAAUGCUUAGAUAUGACAUAGAACACCCAUUGCGAAGGCAGCUCACUACACGAUAAUUGACGCUGAGGCACGAAAGCGUGGGGAGCAAACAGG